Molecule: ribosomal RNA, 570 nt
Filed under: Breviolum minutum
Lineage: Eukaryota; Dinophyceae; Suessiales; Symbiodiniaceae
Description: partial large subunit ribosomal RNA
Rfam family: Eukaryotic large subunit ribosomal RNA
Source: RNAcentral
GGCGAAUGAACAGGGAUGAGCUCAGGCUGGAAACCGAUACAUCUGUGUCGGGCUGUAGCCUGCAGGCAUAGCGCUAUCGGCGGCUCGAGCGCAAGCCUCUUGGAAUAGAGCGUGUGCCCGGGUGAGAAUCCUGCAUUUCGCUCGAUGUCCGCUGUCCACAGUGCUUGUCCUGAGAGUCACGCUCCUCGGAAUUGGAGCGUAAAUCAGGUGGUAAGUUUCAUCCAAAGCUAAAUAGAAGCUCGAGACCAAUAGCAAACAAGUACCAUGAGGGAAAGAUGAAAAGGACUUUGGAAAGAGAGUUAAAAGUGUUUGAAAUUGCUGAGAGCGAAGCGAACGGAGCCACAUGUCGUGCUGAGAUUGCUGUGGGUCUUUGUGAGCCUUGAGCAUGUAAGCGCAAGCUGACUGCUUAUGUGUGAGCAUUUACCCGCAGUGUUUCUCAGCAUGCGAGUCAUUAGCCACAUUUGUUUGAGGAUGGCCUUCAGCUCACAUGGUACACUUGUUAGUGUUCCUCUGUGCGGUGUGGGACUCAGACAGGUGUGGCUUGUUGACCCAGUGGUUUUUUUCGACCCG